Molecule: long non-coding RNA, 877 nt
Organism: Saccostrea cuccullata (small rock oyster)
Lineage: Eukaryota; Metazoa; Mollusca; Bivalvia; Ostreida; Ostreidae
Exons: 4
Source: RefSeq, a predicted model, not a curated record
ACAAUUAGCAUGUGCUCUGGCCUACUAUUGCAUAUAUUUGACAUAAAACAAAGGUUUAAUGUUUCUAUACUGUUUGUAUUUUGCUGUCCAUGCAAUCAUUAUAUAAGUUGAAAAGGGGAAGGGAUUAAACCCCCAGUGUAUUUAUUUUGUUUUAUUAUGAUUCCCCUAGCUGGUCCCUUAAUUUCCUUCCACUUUACCCAGCAUAAUAUUUACAUGGUAGCGUGAGUCUAACAUGUAAUUUUCAUGAAGGCUUGUGGAAGUGAAUCCCACCACUAUACAGAUGUUUAGCAGUUAGAGGUGGUGCUACUUUGGCUUUUCCAUCGUUCAUUGCAUAAAUUUCAUAAAAUUUACCAGGAUACCGAAAACAAAUCCUCUGUAUUAAAGACAUGAUGGUCAGCCAAAAGAGAGCAUGGAAGCCCAACAGGAACAAUCCCUCUACAGCCCAUUUAUAAGGUCUGAAGUGUACCAGUGUACCAGUUUCUCUUUGACCUGUGCCAACUCUGGUAACCCUGCCUUUGUCAAGGACACAUGUACUUGUCGCUAUCCCUAGGGUCUGGAUCUCUCUAUCGGAUGUCCGACUCAUUUUGAUGGGGGAUGGAAUGAUUUCAACAAAAUGGCCGUCUGACACCUUUACUAGAUUAAGUACCUGGAUACAUGUAACUGGCUGUCCCAGAGGGUUUUAUGAAGGCAGUUUUACACAUCAUAUUAAAGACACCAGGAUGGACCACACAAGUUCCACAUUUAAUGCUGACAUCAUUUCAAAGGCCACCUCUACAUUUUACAAAUUUUGUGCUUAGAAGAAAACGGAAGAAAAUAGAAUUUCGCCAAGCUGGCCUGCAGGAAAAUAUUGUAUCUACCGCCAAGGAGGUGUUUGUCC